This 106-nucleotide small RNA is filed under the name Marmota monax (woodchuck). The record is from RNAcentral. Lineage: Eukaryota; Metazoa; Chordata; Mammalia; Rodentia; Sciuridae.
GCCAGGUGUGGUGGUGCACGCCUGUAAUCCCCGCUGCUUGGGAGGCUGAGGCAGGAGGAUCACAAGUUCAAGGCCAACCUCAGCAACUCGCAAGACCCUGUCUCAA